AACAAAAACUACUUUCCACAACACAUAAUUAUAAACUACUUUCCACACCACAUAAUUAUAAGUCUUUUGAAAAUGCAUUGUAAUAUAUACUAUGUAAAAAGUGGUAAAGUAAUAGAAAUAAAAUUAAAAAAAAAAACAGCCUACCCCGAUACCUUUUUUCCCAUUCUCCUUCUCGUCUCUUUCUAUUCCCUUCGCCCUAGCCACCACUCCCGUAGCCACCAUCAUCCUCAGCUCCGACCACCUAACCGCCAUCCUCCUAACCAUUUUUCUCCAAGCCAAGCUCCAAAUCUCAGGCACUCGUGAACCCAACUCCCGAACCAAGUGACCCCAGGUGCGAGCCCACCUCUGUGUGCCUUUGACCAGUGCGACUUCCAUUCGCGAGCCACCACCAGGCGCGAUUCUGCACUCGUUCCCCUGUAGAGCCCCGAGUGUGCACCAAGCCAGGGCCUAGAUUCCACAAGCCCAGGCGUGCCUCCCCUUAAUGCGAGGCCAUGUGUGUCUCCAAGAAAACUCCUGCAUCGAGAGCUCCAUCGCACCCAGAAAAAAAUCGACACCGACCCCAGCUUUGUGAGCUCCUGGAAGGAGUAGGUGGGAGUCCUAGAAUUAUCCAGGAGCUGUAGGAGAAGUCAAAUUUUCCUUCGUACAGUAGUAUAAAGAAGUGUUCAGUAUGGAUAUGGUGAUUUGAGCUUCAAGUGACGGUGGUAUUUUUUUCCAAGGGAAGUCUAGUAACCAGAAAUGGAUUUUGGGUCGUUGGUAUGGUAUUGUUGCCCUGUGGAAAAUGGAUUUUGGACUAAAGCAGUUGAGAAUGCCUUUGGUGCUUACACACCAUGUGGGGUUAACUCCUUAGUGGUGGCUGUUUCUCAUCUGGUUCUUCUAGGCCUGCGCUUCUAUUGAAUAUGGAGGAUGAAGAAAGAUGUUACAGUUCAACGGUUCUGUUUGAGGUCCAAUCUUUAUAAUUCUGCGUUGGCAUGUUUGGCUACUUAUUUUGCUGCUAAGCCUCUGUUCAGAUUGAUAAUGGGAUUUUCAGUGCUGAAUUUGGAUGGGCUGCCUGGUCUUGCACCUUUUGAGAACUACUUGGUGCAACAUCAGUAGAUGCUUAAGGUGAGGCCCAAUAUUUAACCAAUGAGAUGUUCAAGAAACCAUUUCUGAGAUUUUCAACAACUUUCUUUUGAUUGGAAAAUCGGAGAUUCAACAAGUGAAGUGCAAAAGAAAAUCUGAUUUGGAAGGCUUUGGUGUGCUGGCAUUUGGAUGAUCAUGAAUUCCUACCUCUAUUUUUGAAUAUGCAAUUGUUUAAGACUAUUUUGUUGACUAUUGUUAGAAUGUUUUGUUUAUGUUAAUUAGGCAUUGUUGAAUAUCACAAGACUUUUGGAUUAUUUUUUAGAUGAUCUUGAAUGUAUUCUGACACAAUUAUUUGGUUAUAUGUGUUAUGAACCAUAUAAUUGGUACUCAAAAAUAUAUUUGUACAAUGUUAAUGGUGUCUUAGGUAUAUUAAAUGAAGCAGAUUUG
Molecule: long non-coding RNA, 1506 nt
Organism: Humulus lupulus (European hop)
Lineage: Eukaryota; Viridiplantae; Streptophyta; Magnoliopsida; Rosales; Cannabaceae
Exons: 4
Source: RefSeq, a predicted model, not a curated record